CUUUAUUCCCUUCAUUUUCUCUCUGCAGGAAAAAAAAAAUCAUCCCUUUUCAUAUUAGAAAGAUUAUAGCAAAACCCAGAAAUUGAAAAAUCUUGUUCACAUUUCUUUGAUUAAUAUUACCAUGAAGAGAAGUUUUUAUGAAGCAGAGGUUGAUAGCAUAACCAUGGCGAAUUGCUUGAUGCUUCUAUCCCAAGGGAGGGAAACUCAAUUUCCUUCCUUUGAAGCUUUGAAAAAUAGUGAUGUUAUUAAUUCUCCUAGUCGUGUUUUUGAGUGCAAGACAUGUAACAGGCAGUUUCCUUCCUUUCAAGCCCUAGGCGGUCACCGUGCCAGCCACAAGAAGCCUAGGUUGAUGAGCAGCGGUGGAGAUGGAAGCUCAGAGACUCAGUCAUCUUCCCCGGCGGCUAAACCUAAGACCCAUGAAUGCUCUAUUUGUGGGCUAGAGUUUGCUAUAGGGCAAGCCUUGGGAGGUCACAUGAGGAGGCAUAGAGCUGCCUUGAAUGAUCAAAGCUUGCAGCAGGUUCUUGAUGAUCAUCCUACGACGAGUAGUACUGCACAAGUGGCGGUGCCUCCUAUUGUGAGCAGAAGGGCUUUUUGCUUGGAUUUGAACUUGACUCCUUAUGAGAAUGAUUUGGAGUUGUUUAGGCAUGGCAAGGCACCUCCUAAUCCUAAGGUUAUUGACUGUUUCUUUUAGAUUAUCAUCUCUUAAUUACAUGUAAAUUAAUCUCAGAAAUACAUCUUAAUUAUAGCUAGCUGGAGAUUUAAUUUUCAAUUUCCUUUUCAUACCCU
This 786-nucleotide unclassified non-coding RNA is filed under the name Hevea brasiliensis (rubber tree). The record is from RNAcentral. Lineage: Eukaryota; Viridiplantae; Streptophyta; Magnoliopsida; Malpighiales; Euphorbiaceae.